Molecule: non-coding RNA, 282 nt
Organism: Nicotiana attenuata
Lineage: Eukaryota; Viridiplantae; Streptophyta; Magnoliopsida; Solanales; Solanaceae
Source: Rfam
UUUGAUUUAGGUUUUUGACUUGUAUGAAUGCUUUAGAAUAGUAGAGUUUGUCUGAUUCGAUCAUACCUAACCGCGGGGGGAGGCGGGAUACUGCGAAGUGGAAAGUUUAUUUAGGGCGGAUGCUUUCUAAAGAGUGCAAAGGUAGGCUCAAGCUAAAGUUUUGUUCUGAGUAUAAUGGUAUAAGCCUGCCAGAUUGUGAGACCAACUGGUCGAACAGAAACGAAAGUUGACUAUAAUGAUCCGGGAGUCCCGUGUGAAGGGCUCUCGCUCAACGAAUCAAAA